This 298-nucleotide ribosomal RNA is filed under the name uncultured bacterium. RNAcentral describes it as "partial 16S ribosomal RNA". It matches the Rfam family "Bacterial small subunit ribosomal RNA", at positions 28 to 329 of the family's 1533-position model. The record is from RNAcentral.
GAUAAACGCUGGCGGCGUGCCUAACACAUGCAAGUCGAACGUCCUCUCUCGCAAGAGAGAGGGAGUGGCGGACGGGUGAGUAACACAUGGGUCACCUACCCUUAAGUGAGGAAUACCGGCGAGAAAUCGCCGACAAGACCGCAUAGGCUCUCUCUUUUGCAAGAGAGAGCAAAGCUUCGCAAGAGGCGCUUGAGGAUGGGCCUGUGGCCGAUUAGCUGGUUGGAGGGUAAUGGCUUACCAAGGCGACGAUCGGUAGCUGGUCUGAGAGGACGAUCAGCCACACUGGGAUUGAGAACGG